CAUCGCUUGACGGAGCGCGAGUAAUUCCUCGCUGAGAUUUAGUCAGUUUUGCAUCUCCUUGCCAAAACUUAAACUAAAGUACCGUUGAACCUGAUCAGGUUAAGACCUGCGUAGGAAUCAAGCAUCUAAAAACU
RNAcentral lists this non-coding RNA (134 nucleotides) under Acinetobacter guillouiae. RNAcentral describes it as "TPP sequence". It matches the Rfam family "TPP riboswitch aptamer (THI element)". Rfam says of the family: Vitamin B(1) in its active form thiamin pyrophosphate (TPP) is an essential coenzyme that is synthesised by coupling of pyrimidine and thiazole moieties in bacteria. The previously detected thiamin-regulatory element, thi box was extended, resulting in a new, highly conserved RNA secondary structure, the THI element, which is widely distributed in eubacteria and also occurs in some archaea. Lineage: Bacteria; Pseudomonadati; Pseudomonadota; Gammaproteobacteria; Moraxellales; Moraxellaceae. RNAcentral also lists the same sequence under 1 other name. The record is from RNAcentral.